ACUCCUACGGGAGGCAGCAGUGGGGAAUAUUGGACACUGGGCGCAAGCCUGAUCCAGCCAUGCCGCGUGAGUGAUGAAGGCCCUAGGGUUGUAAAGCUCUUUCACCGGUGAAGAUAAUGACGGUAACCGGAGAAGAAGCCCCGGCUAACUUCGUGCCAGCAGCCGCGGUAAUACGAAGGGGGCUAGCGUUGUUCGGAUUUACUGGGCGUAAAGCGCACGUAGGCGGACUAUUAAGUCAGGGGUGAAAUCCCGGGGCUCAACCCCGGAACUGCCUUUGAUACUGGUAGUCUUGAGUUCGAGAGAGGUGAGUGGAAUUCCGAGUGUAGAGGUGAAAUUCGUAGAUAUUCGGAGGAACACCAGUGGCGAAGGCGGCUCACUGGCUCGAUACUGACGCUGAGGUGCGAAAGCGUGGGGAGCAAACAGGAUUAGAUACCCCGGUAGUCCC
Molecule: ribosomal RNA, 445 nt
Filed under: uncultured organism
Description: partial 16S ribosomal RNA
Rfam family: Bacterial small subunit ribosomal RNA
Source: RNAcentral